Molecule: long non-coding RNA, 1147 nt
Filed under: Olea europaea subsp. europaea
Lineage: Eukaryota; Viridiplantae; Streptophyta; Magnoliopsida; Lamiales; Oleaceae
Source: RNAcentral
AUUUGUUUGAAGAGGUGUAUAUGGACCUUCCUCUUGGUUAUAACCUUCUUAAACCUCCCAAACAGGGGGAGUGUCAAUUGGUUUGCAAAUUACACAAGUCUAUAUACGGCCUUAAACAAGCCUCAAGGCAGUGGAAUUCCAAGUUUUCUCUUUCUCUUAUUCAGCAUGGUUUCAUCCAGUCUAAAGCUGAUUACUCUCUUUUUACGAAGGGCACAGGAGAUAACUUUGUAGCCUUAUUGGUGUAUGUUGAUGAUAUAGUCAUUGCAGGGCCUAACAUGCAGGUUAUUAAAGAAUUGAAGGAAUACUUGCACUCUCAAUUCAAACUCAAGGAUUUGGGCUGUUUAAAAUUUUUCUUGGGAAUUGAAAUUGUGCGAGCAGCAUCAGGAAUUAUCAUUUCACAGAGGCAAUAUACAUUACAAAUGAUUGAAGAUGCCGGCUAUUUGGAUUGCAAACCAGUUAGCAGUCCCAUGGAUCCAAAGGUUGUUCUUAGCUCACUUGAUGGAGAAUUGCUGUCAGAUGCAUCCCAAUACAGGAGGCUCAUUGGAAGAUUGAUUUACUUAACUCUCACUCGACCGGAUAUUACAUUUGCGGUACACAAGUUGAGCCAAUUUAUGUCUCAACCAAGAUUACCUCAUCUCAAGGCCGUUCAUCACCUUCUUCGCUAUUUGAAAGGAAGUCCUGGCCAAGGUCUUUUUUUUUCUUCUAAUUCAUUGUCAGGUUCAGAUUCCCUCAUCAAACUUCAGGCUUUUUCUGAUGCUGACUGGGGAUCCUGUGUUGAUACACGAAAAUCCACUACUGGCUUUUGCAUUUUCAUUGGUGAUUCACUAGUUUCUUGGAAGUCUAAGCGUCAACCAACCAUUUCUCGUUCUUCAGCAGAGGCAGAAUACCGGGCUCUUGCAGCAACAGUCAGUGAGCUCACUUGGAUAAAUCAAUUAUUGGUGGAUUUUCAGGUCGCCAACACUUCACCAGCUAUAAUCUACUGUGAUAAUUUGGCUGCCAUUCAGAUUGCAAAGAAUCCAACUUUUCAUGAGCGAACAAAGCACAUUGAGAUCGAUCUUCAUUUCAUUCGUGACAAGAUCACCGCUGGGGCGAUUAAGAUCCUUCCGGUCAGAUCACAGCACCAGCUCGCUGAUGCCUUCACAAAGCC